This 498-nucleotide ribosomal RNA is filed under the name uncultured bacterium. RNAcentral's name for it is "bacterial SSU rRNA". It matches the Rfam family "Bacterial small subunit ribosomal RNA", at positions 29 to 507 of the family's 1533-position model. The record is from RNAcentral.
ACGAACGCUGGCGGCGUGCCUAAUACAUGCAAGUCGAGCGGAAUGAUGAAGAAGCUUGCUUCUUCUGAUUUUAGCGGCGGACGGGUGAGUAACACGUGGCAACCUACCUUGUAGAUUGGGAUAACUCCGGGAAACCGGGGCUAAUACCGAAUAAUCCAUUUUGCUUCAUGGCGAGAUGUUGAAAGACGGUUUCGGCUGUCACUACAAGAUGGGCCCGCGGCGCAUUAGCUAGUUGGUAGGGUAAUGGCCUACCAAGGCGACGAUGCGUAGCCGACCUGAGAGGGUGAUCGGCCACACUGGGACUGAGACACGGCCCAGACUCCUACGGGAGGCAGCAGUAGGGAAUCUUCCACAAUGGACGAAAGUCUGAUGGAGCAACGCCGCGUGAGUGAAGAAGGUUUUCGGAUCGUAAAACUCUGUUGUAAGGGAAGAACACGUACGAGAGUAACUGCUCGUACCUUGACGGUACCUUAUUAGAAAGCCACGGCUAACUACGUG